AAAGUCGUAACAAGGUUUCCGUAGGUGAACCUGCGGAAGGAUCAUUAACACGUAUCCACGUUUUAAAAUCAACCACCACGAACUGUGCUCCCUGGCCUCCAACUUCUCUUGCUGUCCGAUGUGGGUUCUAAUGGGUUGCAACCGUUUCGACGGUUGUAUCAUACCUAUGUCCGGCUAUCACUCCUCGAGAGUGUGGCGGAGAGACCGGUCGCUAGGCUUAUUUUAUCUCAUCAAUCUACUCUCUCAACCAUUUUGAGCGAGUGGGGCGAUACCCAUACCAAUUUCACUCUAUUUUACCUAUUUGACUAAUUAUACGAGUUUCGAGUGGGAGAAAUCCUAUCUCGAAAUGACCUAAGAUUUAUCUUAACUAAGCACAACUCUUAGCAAUGGAUAUCUUGGUUCUC
Molecule: unclassified non-coding RNA, 404 nt
Filed under: Basidiomycota sp.
Lineage: Eukaryota; Fungi; Basidiomycota
Description: partial contains small subunit ribosomal RNA, internal transcribed spacer 1, and 5.8S ribosomal RNA
Rfam family: Eukaryotic small subunit ribosomal RNA (bases 1-47)
Source: RNAcentral